This 3294-nucleotide long non-coding RNA is filed under the name Equus caballus (horse). RNAcentral describes it as "lncRNA (ENSECAG00000040818.2)". Lineage: Eukaryota; Metazoa; Chordata; Mammalia; Perissodactyla; Equidae. The record is from RNAcentral.
GAAUAAUAUGAGGGGGCUCAGAGAUUGAAAGGGGAUAUUAAAUGACUGGCUUGGCAUGGAUGAGAAUGAGGGUGCUAGAGAGAGUAUUGGAAGUGGGAAGAGUACCACGGUGCUACCUAAUACCAGCGCUGGAAUGAUUCUUCUCCAGCCAUUCCUUCCAUCAGUCUGACCCUCUACUGGGGAUCCAAAAUGGUGGGAGGGAGAACUGAUUGGCUCAGAUGAGAUCACAAAUGUACCCCUUCUGCCGCAACAGAGCAGCAAGAGAGAUCUAUCAUAAAGAGCAACCCAAGUCCUGCCAGCUUCCUGAGCAAGAAGAAAGGGCACCUCAAUCACUGGCCUUCCAAGACGACAAGGAGGAAAAGGUGCUCAGUUGUCCUUGUGGAACCACUGCCUUUGCUAAAAACUAAAUUAUUAUUAAUGUUUCUUUCUGAACAAAAUGUGAGGUGAAAUGCCGUGAGUUGCCCUCUUUGGAUUAUUGAAAUAGGCCACUCUCAGUCAUUUUGAGUAGUUUUGACAGAAAUUGUGGUGAAUUUUCUAUGUUUUUUAAAAAAAUCUCGUUUACAUAGUUCUAUAUGCACAACGUUAACUGUCUAUUCAGUAAAUAUUUAUUGUUCCUAGUAGAUCAAGGUACUCAUCUAGACCCAAGGAAAUUAUCAACAAAUAAAAACAGAUAAGUCCUAGCCCUCACUGGAGCUUACAUUGUAAUGCUAUAAAUUGGACUUAAAUACAUAAUGUUCCUAAGGUGAUAAAAGUACUAAGAAGUAAGACAAAGAGAUACAGAAUGAUAAGGGGUGUUACUGACAUGAGGUUGUGGUAAAAGACUUCUAUGAUAAAUCGAUGUUUGAACAGAGACCUGAAGAAAGUGAAGGAAGAAAAUAAUAAAGGUUUCUGGGAAAAUAAAAAAAGUACAGAGGCCCUGAGACUAUAGCAUACUUGGCAUGUUCCAGACACAGGAAGGAGGCCACUGUGGUCAGAGCUGAGCGAGUGAGGGAAGGAUGGUUGCAGGUAAGCAUGGUUUGAAAGGGGCAGAGAAGCAAGACCACAGAAGGUCUUGGGGCCAUAGUAAGAAUUUUGGGGGUUUACUCUGAGCAAAAUGAGAAAGCUGUAAGGGCUUUAAAUGGAAGAAUGACGUAAUCUUACUUAUAUUUUAAAGGAUCUCUCUGGCUGUUAUGUUGAGAAAAGACCAAAGAAGGACAAAGACUGAAGCAGAGAGAUAAGAUAGGAAACCACCUCAAUGGGGUAAAUGUGGGAAUAACUUAACUUGGAUUAGGAAAGCAGCAGUGAGGAGGGUAAGAAGUUGCCUCACUGGAUGUGGGUGUGAGCAAAAAAGAAAGUCAAAGAUGCCUCCACAGUUUUUGGCCUGGAUGAUAGAAAAUAGAGUUGACAAUAACUGAGAUGGAGAGGCUACAGGUAGAGCAUGUUUAACAAUGAUGGAGAGACAGAGCUCCAUUUUGAACAUGUAAGAAGCCUAUUAGACAUCCAGAUGAAAUCUCAAGUAGGCAAUUGCGCAAAUGUGUCUGAAGUUCAGGAAUAAGGUCACGGCCAGAGGUAAAAAUUUGGAAGUCAGUUUAAGUAAGGAAUUUAUAGCAAUGAGAACAGAUGAGAUCAACUACGGAAUGAAUGCAAGCAGAGAAGACCUGGAAGUUUGAGCCCUCAGGCAUUCAAAUGUUUGGAAUCUGGAAGAUCAUGAGGAACUAGUGAAGGCUCUUGAGAAAGAAAGGAGAAGAUUCAAGACAGAAUGGUAGCCUGGAGUCCAGGUGAAGAAAUUGUUUCAGAAUUAAAGAGAUUGCUUUUGUUGAAUGAUGCUAAUAGAGUAAGAUGAAAACCAAAAUGACUUUGAAUGAUGACAUAAAAGUCAUACUUAAUGUUGACAGACGAGAUUUUAGUGGAUUGCUGGAGAAGAAAAAUUGAUUACAGUGAAAUCAAGGGAGAAGGGGAGGAAGUAGUGGCCUUGAGUAUAAGCAAUUUUUUGAAUGAGUUCUGCUGAAAAGAUGAAUUAAAAAAUGGAGUAUUGCCUCUUACAGGAGAUAGAAAAAGUAGUUUUCUUAAAAAAAUGAGGUAUUUUAGCAUGUGUAUAUGGUGAAGGGAAUUAUCCAGUAGAAAGAGAAUAAUUUAUGACACAAGUGAGAGAAAGGAUGCCUGCGGAAGUGUUGUCUUUGAGUAGCCAAGAGGGGAUGACACUCAGUGUCCCCGUGAAGGGACCGAAUAGUGCAUGUAAAAUUCAUUUUAACAGGAAGGAAGAUGGAGGUAUGCACAUAAAUGUAAGUAGGUUAGUGGAUAUGGUGAUGGCAUAGCAGGGAAAUUUUCUUCUCCAUUUUUUAAGGUGAGCAAAGAUUGAGAAGAAAGGAGAAAUGGUUAAAAGUUCGACGGCACCUAGCACCUGGCAAUUUACGAAGAAGAAUUGAAUUUUGUUCCCAGGUCAAAUUAUAUAGGGUGCAAGAGGACUCAAGCCAUGAAACUAGUAUAUUUUUAUAAACAACUGAAACAAGGUGUUCAUUUUUUUCACUCAUGCAUUCGCCACUCGUUUCUUAACAAACUUUUAUUGAGCAUCUAGAAUGUGGCAACUGUGAUCAACUCUGGGAAAAUUACUACCCGAAUCAGUUUUAGUCACUAUGAUUACAGAGGAGCUUACAGUCGAGUUGGGGAAACAGACAUGGAAGAAAAAAGUAACACUACACUUCCCUUUAUUUGAAUAUGAUACAUAUCUUUCCAGUGACCAUUCUUACUGAAUAUCUUGGGACAUGGCCCACUUCAGAGAUUCUGUCAUGUUCUACUAAUAAGUGCAACCAUAGUCGUAAGGCCUAAUGCUCCCAUUUUUGCUUAAGAAAAUAUGGUCCCCAUCACUAAUACUGAAGCACGUUCAAAGCACUAAGAUAGCAUAGAGUAAGAAGGGAUUCACUCUAGCUAGAGAGUUAGAACGAGAUUUGUUUGAGCAAAAUCUUGAAGGGUGAGUAGAAAAAGCAAACAUAUGCCAUAUACCAGAAAGAAAAUGUGUAAAAUCCUAGAUGUGUGAAUCUGAGAAUAACUUGCUAAUGAAGACAGUCUUUAUUCUUUACAUAAGUGUGAAUUAUUGAGUUUUUAUUUGUUUUUUGGUUUUUAACUAGAAAAAGAAUUCCAUAGUUGGAUUUUGUUUUAGAUAGACCACUUAGGUGGCUGUGCAAAAGGUAGAUGGAAGGAAGAAGAGACUAGUAAAGUGUUGGAUUAACAGUUAAUAGGCUGAUGAGAACCUGCACCAGAACAUGGACAGUGGUGGUGAAAGGAAUGGAUGGAUUAAAGAGACAUGUAUGAAAGGGC